GUGUCAGCAGCCGCGGUAAGACGUAGGGGACGAGCGUUGUCCGGAUUUAUUGGGCGUAAAGCGCGCGCAGGCGGCCACGUAAGUCGGAUGUGAAAUCCCGGGGCUCAACCCCGGAACUGCAUUCGAUACUGCGUGGCUCGAGGUAGGUAGGGGAGAUCGGAAUUCCUGGUGUAGCGGUGGAAUGCGCAGAUAUCAGGAGGAACACCGGUGGCGAAGGCGGAUCUCUGGGCCUUACCUGACGCUCAGGCGCGAAAGCUAGGGGAGCGAACAGGAUUAGAAACCCCCGUAGUCC
RNAcentral lists this ribosomal RNA (292 nucleotides) under uncultured bacterium. Its description in RNAcentral is "partial 16S ribosomal RNA". It matches the Rfam family "Bacterial small subunit ribosomal RNA", at positions 505 to 796 of the family's 1533-position model. The record is from RNAcentral.